AUCCAGAGCACGGUGAUGCUUAUGUUCCAAGCACGUAACCGAGCUUAAUGUGUGGAAACAAACCAGUCUGAGUGCUCUGCGU
RNAcentral lists this small nucleolar RNA (82 nucleotides) under Leptobrachium leishanense (Leishan spiny toad). RNAcentral's name for it is "Small nucleolar RNA SNORD121A (ENSLLEG00000000636.1)". It matches the Rfam family "Small nucleolar RNA SNORD121A". The record is from Rfam by way of RNAcentral. Lineage: Eukaryota; Metazoa; Chordata; Amphibia; Anura; Megophryidae.